GGUUGGGUUGACUUUGACUCGCCUGACAGAUUUAAGAUUGUGGUUAGCAUCCGAUGGGACUGUAGCUGUGGCUCUUUCAGGAGAAACAUUGCUUGUUUUAUCAAUGGAAGCAAUGAGCAAAUCUGUGAUCAGCAAAUAGAAGUGGCACUUGUCGGUUAUAUCAGGGGAUUUCAAACCAUGCAAAAUCCUUUGACUGAUGCUCAAAUUCUUGACGAUGACAAGUCAAUUGCGGAAGCGUGCUUGGAUUCAGCAGCGUAUAGCUAUCACAGGUGCAGCCCUGCUAAACUAUAAAGAGUUUGCGUUGGUUAUAAAAAAAGUCAAAACAUUUCGGUUUGACCAUUACACUCUGAUAAGUUGACAUUGACUCAAAAGUAUGCUACAAAAUUUAACAUUUGAUUUAACUAUAUUUAAGCUAAGGCUUGUCCAAGGUGAAGCAUGGCUUUGGAUCAAGGUUUAGUUUAAUAAUUCAACUCUAAUGAGUGUAAUAUAACUUGAUAUUGCAUAGGUAUAAUGGUUGGAAUAAUAAAGUUAUAUGAACUUUUAGUUUUUGUGUUGACAUUAUGUCUAUUGCUUGUAUUAACAUAUCAUGUGUUGCAAGAAUUAUUGAUGGUUUUGAAAGUGUUGGA
RNAcentral lists this long non-coding RNA (626 nucleotides) under Helianthus annuus (common sunflower). RNAcentral's name for it is "hypothetical non coding rna". Lineage: Eukaryota; Viridiplantae; Streptophyta; Magnoliopsida; Asterales; Asteraceae. The record is from RNAcentral.